This 765-nucleotide long non-coding RNA is filed under the name Homo sapiens (human). RNAcentral's name for it is "HSALNT0350751". The record is from RNAcentral. Lineage: Eukaryota; Metazoa; Chordata; Mammalia; Primates; Hominidae.
AGUUCGUAACUUGUCUUCUGGACAUAGGUUUCUCUGUCCGGUGGUCUCUACGAAGUGGGUAAGGGUGGGAGAUUGCCAUUGACAUUCCCGCCCUGGACGGGACUCUGGUCCUGUGGGCUUUGACAGGUCACUGCAUUCCUGCCAGGUCGACGUUUUGCGUUUAUUGGUGAGAUUGAAAUCCCUUCAUUUGUGUUUUCGCCAUUUGUAUUUCUUUGUGAUUUGCCAGCUCAUAUUUUUUUCCAUGUAUGUUGAAAACAUGCUUCUCAAUUUGUCUUUUGACUCUGAUUAUGGUGUUUGAUUCUGGUUUGGGCUUUUUCAAAAUAGAAAAUUUAAAAUUUUUAGGAGUCAAAUAUUUUGCCUUAAGGCAUUUUGGGCUUUGUGCUGUGUUUUAAAGGGCUUUCCCCACUCCAAGAUUAUUUUUAAAAUAAACUCUUGUUUUUCUGUGGUACUUGUAAAAUGUUGGAUACGUCUGGAAUUUAUUUUAUUGUGGGGUGAGUUUGGAAUACAGCUUUUGGAAUUCCUUUUUUCCUCUAAAUCAUAGCCAUUUCUAACACCAUUGAUCUUCCCAUUGAUUUGAAAAACCGCUUUUGUCAUAUACUAAAUUGUUGCAUGCCUUUAGGUCCAUUUUUGGAGUUUGGUAGCUUUGAUGUGCAUAUGAUUUUGAUUUAUAAGCUGCAGAUCUGUGGAGCUCUGCUUUUUGCUUUUGGUAUUUUGCUUAGAACAGCCCUUCCCACAUGAAAUAAUAAAAAUAUACCUGUAUUUUUA